Molecule: long non-coding RNA, 1275 nt
Organism: Bos grunniens (domestic yak)
Lineage: Eukaryota; Metazoa; Chordata; Mammalia; Artiodactyla; Bovidae
Source: Ensembl
AAAAAAAAACACAUUUCCUGGAGUUUUAAGAGAUUCAAUAGACUCAAGUGAACCUCCCUCACUUGGGUAUGCAGAGACUGUGAACAAGCAGAUUAGGAAGAUCAAAAGCUUCAGACUUUGAUGAGAAGAACGUUUCCUGUUUAGCCAGGGGUGAACAGCUACACCCAGGACUGAACCCAAAUUGCAAGUUUAACACCGAUGCAGACAAGAUACAUCAGACACACGGCCUGACUGCCCCUCAUGCUUUCUAUGGAAGUGAAUUCCACAGCAUCACCACCUGAGUUUUCUCCGUUUUCCUCCAUGAAAGUGAGGUCAUUGUGAUUUCCUUAUAGUCAACUCAUUUCCUCAGAGGAGCAGAAGGGGAGAAGGACUAGCUGGGGAGCUGCAGACCUGCAACCAGUCUCGUUUUUCUUAUUUAAAUUCCGAUUCCCUGGGAAAGACGUGUGUUUAUGUUAUUUUCAGAAACGGGCCUGUUCGUAAACGGGUCGGUGGUGUUGCAGAAUAAUAUACAGGACUCUCCCAAGUGCGAGGAGAGGUUGACCCAGGACUUGAGAAGAACGGAGUUACUUUAAAAAACAAAACAAAAGCAAAGUUUUAUACUGUUGAAAGAGUAAAUUCACAUUUUUCUUUUCUCUCUCUCUUUUUUUUUAUUUAUUCAAAGGCUAAAUAUUAACUUAAUUGUUCAGAAAGAAUGACAACGCAACAGUAUUUUAAAAUUCUCUUUAUUAAACCAGUUUGAGAUCAGUUCACUUGGUUUUGGAAAAAAAAAAAGAACCUUCAAUUCGUGAGCAUGUCCAUGCCUGGAGGAGUUUGGGACUCUAACGGUGAGAGUGGGAGCCUGUCCGUGCCUGGGUCUUCAUGGGUGGGUUUUGGGAUGAUUCAAGCGCAUCGCAUUUCUCGUGCACUCAGUUUCUAGGGUUGUUACAUCAACUCCACCUCAGAUCAUUGGGCAUUAGAUCCCAGAGGUUGGAGACCCCUACCUUAAUCCUUCUCAUGAUGGAUAGUGAUGCUUUGUCCCACCCCCAGUCCUUAGAAAACUUGUUCUCCACAAAACAGGUCCCUGGUGCCAAAAAUGUUGGUGACCACUGGUUUGCAGAGCAGAAGGACUUACUUCUGGCGGAUUCUUCACCCGCUGAGUCAUCGGGGAAAGCCCUGAAGCGAUUUGUGCUUCCAGAACCCAGGAAAGACUCUUCUAAAAGGAUGCAUUCAGUAAGACCACACUCAACAGGAGCAGCGCAUGGGGCAGCCUCAGGCAGGGAGGGAUGGGGUGCCUGA